Molecule: ribosomal RNA, 287 nt
Filed under: uncultured bacterium
Lineage: Bacteria
Description: partial 16S ribosomal RNA
Rfam family: Bacterial small subunit ribosomal RNA
Source: RNAcentral
GAUAAACGCUGGCGGCGUGCCUAACACAUGCAAGUCGAACGCCCUUACGCAAGUAAGGGAGUGGCGGACGGGUGAGGAACACGUGGGUGAUCUGCCUUGAGGUGAGGAAUACCGGCGAGAAAUCGCCGACAAUACCGCAUACGUUCGCAAGAACAAAGUCGCAAGACGCCUUGAGAUGAGCCUGCGUCCGAUUAGCUAGUUGGUGGGGUAAAAGCCUACCAAGGCAGCGAUCGGUAGCUGGUCUGAGAGGACGAUCAGCCACACUGGGAUUGAGAACGGCCCAGACU